RNAcentral lists this long non-coding RNA (904 nucleotides) under Olea europaea subsp. europaea. The record is from RNAcentral. Lineage: Eukaryota; Viridiplantae; Streptophyta; Magnoliopsida; Lamiales; Oleaceae.
AUCGAAUCUUCUAAGCGAACUGUUUAAUUUGUUUCAAUUAAAGUGUGUUUAGUUAUGCAUUCUGGACACACGAGAACUUUUCGAAAGAUUAGUUAUGUGACCCAUCUGUGGCGAUAAACCGUCGUUCCUGAUAGUUCGUGUCAGUUAUUCUCGAUAGAUGAGUCAUCUUUUGAUAUGAACCGUUAUUCUAGGCAAUUAAAUGAAGUAUUUCUCAAACAUUAUAGUUUAUUUUUUGAUUUCUUAUACGUGUGUUUAGCAUUAACAUCUAAAGAAUUCAAAAUUUUAAAUACACUCAUCUUAUCUCGUAAUAUGCAAACUAUAAAUAUUGAAUUCAUAUCCAUUAGUAUUGUAAUUGUUGUUUUCAAUUAGAUGGAGGAGGCAUUAACUCGUGCUCGGAUAAUCAUGUUGGUCAAUUGCUUAGUGGGAACCAAGAAGUGAACGGUAUAUGCAUUAAUUAUGAGAAAUUCAAAAUUUUUAAUACUCUUAUGUUAUUCCGUAAUUUGAAAACUAGAAAUAAUGAACUCAUGUCGAUUAGUGUUGCAAAUGUUGUUUUCAAAUAGAUGGAGGAGUCAUAGAGUUUGAAGUGUCAUGCCUGGACAACGAGAAAGUUCCCUCAACUUGUAGCGUGACGGAUGCGGUCAUCAUACCCAUCGAAAGUAACGAUAUUGUUAACACAAAAGGCAAUGAUCGACACACAUUUGAUUUCUUGCAGCAUCUACUAGGACUCUAUACAUCAAAGAAAGGAGAAAAAGAAAUAGCGUGACGAAAUUUUUUAAUACUACAUUAAAAUUGAUUUGUGUACUAAAUGACCUCAUUUUGCUCUCCUCCAAGAAUGUGGUUAUAAACAUGAUUUGGUGGUUAUAUCCACAUGUGAUUACAUAUUUUAUCAUUUAUCGUUUCUCAU